UCCCGGGUAGGGGAUAAGUGAAAUUUUGGAACUCUGAGAUUUCUCUUACUCAGAUUCGGAAGACGGGAAAUGUUUGAUCGGAGGGGGGUUUUGUUUCUAGAAAACUUAAUUGAUAUUGUCUAAAAGAGGGAUGUGAAUUCCCAGAGUGAUGUAGAAGAUUGUUGAUUCGAAAACAGAAAAGAGAGCUUCAAUGGAAGAUUAGUAUUCAGCUGUUGUUGAUUUACAAGGGGAAUCUAAUGGAAUGUUGUGGUAGCUCUGGUGUAUAUAUCAAAUGGUCCCCAAGAGUAUCCUGAAAGUGUUAUUUUACUGUUAAUAAGAGGGUCAUGACACAAGAAGCUGUUCAUGAUAUCCGGAAGUUGCUAAGGAAUUUUUAACCAGUAAUUUAACGUUUCAAGAGGCUUACGACAUGACGGGUAGAGCCUCCCAGAUGUCUUAACUACUUAGCAUCUCCCCAUGUUGUUAAAUGGAGUGUCAUGACUGCUUCUUGCGCGUUUCCUGGGUCGUUCGAGGGCUCAAGAAUUGAUGGCCAGAGAUAGAAGUAGUGAAAUUGUUCCUUAUCAUCCUCCUUACACCUAGGACCCGAUGAGCCUUCGAGCCUUACUGUUAGAAAGUGGAGGGAUGGUAGUUUGUAAAGCGAUUUACCCAUGAUACAGAUCAAGGAAUUGUUUAAUGUCAAUCAUUUCAUUGUUAGUCAGGCCAACCCUUCUAUUGCACCAUUCUUGAGGCUGAAAAGAGAUUGUGAGAGCUUAUAGAGGAAAUUGCGCUGCUAAGCUUGCUCAUCUAGCUGAGAUGGAGGUUAAGCAUAGUUGUCAUCAGCUAUUGGAACUUGGAUUUCCUUUGGGUUGCUUGGCUAAAGUUUUUGGGGUUUUCGCACAAGAUUGGGAGGGUGAUGUCACUGUUGUUAUGCCUGCCACACUUGCUCAGUAUACAGAACCCAUCUCAGGUCGAGCUUCAAGAAGCUGCCAACCAAGGCAGGAGAUGCACAUGAGGGGAACUUUCUGCCAUUAGAAGGAACUGCAGUGUUGAGCUUGCUCUAGACGGAUCUGUUGGCCUUCUCAACCACAUGUGGAGGCUCAAAAAGAGUGCCAAGAGAACCGCUGCUUAACAAGGACACAGUCUAGAGAGGGUGGUGGGUCCACAGUUAUUUAGGUUUCAUGGAGGCGAGUGAAUUUUUUUUAAAAGUUAUCUAUGAAGACCAAAGUCUAGAAGAUUGUCAAGAUACUGACAUGCUUGAUUCAGAGACUUUAGAAGAAGAGGAGUGUAAUUGGAAGUUUGCAAUUGACCGAAACUAGCAAGUCUGACUCUGAGGAAGGAGAGUGCACAGGGAAGAUUGGAUUGGAGACUUAGGAUUGACAGAAAUGGGAAGCAGGGGUGACGUUACAGUGAAUCAAGCAUCUAACAGCAAAACCCGCAAGCGCCAGGCAAAGAAGAAACAUAAAAACAAGAAGACUGGUCCUGCCCCAGUUAUCAAAAACAUGAAUAAGUUCGUUAUUGAUACUUGUGAACACUUCUGGAUUGCAUAAUGCUGCCAUAUUUUCAAAAUUUGACUUAAAGUCAGGAAGUUGCCAAAUUCAAAUCGCCGAAAAAGAUAAGUAUAAAGCUGCAUUCACGGUCCCUUUUGGGCAUUAUGAAUGGAAUGUCAUGUCAUGUCAACAUAUUAUGAAUAACAUAUUUAAUUCUUAUUCAACUUUUACAAUUGUAUAAAUUGAUGAUGUAUUAAAGUAUUCCGAAUCAAU
Molecule: long non-coding RNA, 1736 nt
Organism: Papaver somniferum (opium poppy)
Lineage: Eukaryota; Viridiplantae; Streptophyta; Magnoliopsida; Ranunculales; Papaveraceae
Exons: 6
Source: RefSeq, a predicted model, not a curated record